ACUUCAUUCAGAUUGUGACCUGAUAUCCCAAGAACUCUCCUGAUUUUAACUACAUUUAACCAAGAGAAUGGAGACCUAAUUCAGGAUGAAGUUCAAAAUCUUAAAUGGAGACCAGUCUUGGAUUCACUCAGAAGCAGAGCUACUCAAACUCCAGCUGUGCUGCUACAUGCUGAAGAGUCUGUGCUUUUCCAUAACAGAAACACCAGGAUGUAGUCAUGAUGGACUAAAGGAGGAGCUACCAGAAGAAUCUGUACCAGUUUGGGAAGGCAAUUCCAGUGUCUUUGUGAAAGUUGCUGGUCUAGCUGAGGCUGAGCAGGUCACCCUUGGAACAGAGAGGGCAGGAACUCUAGAAGAUAGUUUCACUUUGUUUGGGUGUCCCCCAAUUUAUCAUGCAGCAGGACUGCUUUCCCCUUAUUCUGAGAAGUUAUCUGAUGAUGAGACAAGUAAGAAAACCAAAGGUGAAGAAACCAUUUUUCUCUUGAAGGAACAAGCUAUAACUCUACCAACAAAAACAUUCCCUGCUUCUGUGGUUGAACACUUGAUGAGGAAGAAGCUCCAGCUUACUUGGUUCAAACCUGAAAGCUGCCACUCAUCAGCUGUCACCACUGUGGAGAAAGUGAGGAGUGCGAGUUUCUGUGAGGCAAAUACUAAUCUUUGGUCUGCUGGCCUCUGCAUUGUUGCAGAAGGGGGAUUUUAUGACAAAGUUCCUGUACUUUGUGGAAAGUUGCCUUCCACUGUGACUGAAAUUUUCACAGCAUGUCUAGAAAAAUACAACAUGGAAAGACAUUGGGAAAACAAGCAAAUUCUGCCAAAAAGCCUAAGUGAAAAUAGAUGUCUGGAUAAAAUUGUUGAUGAUGAAAAGUAUCACCAAAAAAUCUCUAGAGGGAGAGCUAAAGGAGAAGAAAUACAGACUGAGAAAUCCCAGCCACAACUGGUGACCUGCGUUCUUGAGGAAAGUUCUAAAGUUUUACAUAAAAUUGAAUUUAUCAGUCCUGAGAAGCAAGGAAUGGAAGCCAAAGAGAGACUAAGUAGCAUACAGGAUGUCCGAAGUUUGUCUCUUGAUUUUAAAGACUUGAUUUUAAAGAAGUGUUUUGAAGGGAGUCUUGGACUAAUGGAGAAAGAAGAAAACAUCUCAGAGAACUGCAUCUCUGAUGUGAAUAGGAGAUAUAAUGGAGAAGAUAUAAUUGAAAUGGAAGAGAAAGGAGUGCAGGCUCAGAAACCAACUCACCAAACCAACCCCUCCAGCAAUAUUGGCAUGAAAGAAAAGAAAGGCCAGACCUUGGGACUAUGUGAACCAUAUGAGAAGAAUUUCUCAUAUGAAAAAAUAGCUGCUGAAAACGUGCAAUAUGCAUACUCUCAGAAUUUCUUUUGGUCAGAUGAAGAGAGGUAUCCACUAAAAUUGCUGUUUCCUGUGCAGGAGAGUGUUGUGUGCCUAGGCAAACUAUUCCUGCCAGAGAGCAGUUUUUAUGAGUGUUUCUGUCAUCUGUCACCACUUGAAGCCUGUAAUGAAUGUAAUGUGAAAAUAUCUGUACUGGAAAAAGCAGUGACUGUGUGUUCUCACAGGAUAUUUCUACUCAUGCAAGAAAAUGAAAAUUAUUCCAAAAAAGUCUGUAUAUUAAAACAGGAGAAUGAGAGAUAUGCUCAGAUGAUGUGUGCCCUGGAAGAGGAGAUGGAUGCAUAUUUUCAGUACAUUUUAGCAGCAGAUGAAGCUAACAUUGUUUCAUUCCAAAACUUACUUAAUGAGAAAGAGGUUUCUGGUGGAUGUUACAGUAACUUAUCAGGAGAAAACACCAUGACCCCAGGAACAUUUUUAGUUAAAACUUUCUCUAAGAACCUCCCAUGUAUUGAAGAGAAAAAUAGGAAUUCUGAAAAAGACUCAUCGACAAUUGCAUCAAAUAAACUUUCCAGGAGUGUUCUAUCCCUGAAGGGAAGGAAAAUGAGGUAUUUCCAGCUACUUUCUGACCUAAAAGAAGAAAGAAGCAGAUGCUUCAAAGAAAUAGCUAAAUUAUUACAAGACAAGGAGAACUGUGUAGCAAAAUACAAUGAAUUAAUACAGGAGAGAGAGGAAAAUUUACAAAGAAUAGCUCUUUCAGAGCGUGAAAAAGAAACUUUGUUGGGACAUUUAGCAGAGAUAAAGUGUGAGCAAGACAAAUACAAGACCUUGGUUUCAGAACUCCAAGACUGCAAAACCAGCUGUUAUAAAAGAAUUUCUGAUUUACAGGAGGAAAAAUAUGUGCUGAAAAGAGAGAUAGACAAAAUCAAGAAAGAAACUUCAGAGCGGCUAGAUGAAUUUCAGAAAGCAAAUACAAACUUUAUUUUAGAAAAUAAAAAAUUGAAAGAAUUAGUGUCUUCUUUGGGUUUCACCUAUGAAGAGCUGAGAAAAGAGAAAAGUUUGGGAACAAAGAAAAAGAUAGUAAAAGUAAAAGAAGAAAGUCAGCAACAUGGUCUUAAGCCAAAGAAAUUUGAAACAGUGUGUAGUGUAACACAAACUGAAGAAGAAGUAGUUCUGGUUAUAAAUCCUUCAAACUAUUUCCCUGGGAAGGAGGUAAAUAAUAACAGGAAGGAGUGUUGUGAAGCAGUGUCUUCUAAAGAAAGGGGGAGAUAUAAAA
Molecule: long non-coding RNA, 2609 nt
Organism: Manacus vitellinus (golden-collared manakin)
Lineage: Eukaryota; Metazoa; Chordata; Aves; Passeriformes; Pipridae
Source: Ensembl